Molecule: long non-coding RNA, 2115 nt
Organism: Poecilia latipinna (sailfin molly)
Lineage: Eukaryota; Metazoa; Chordata; Actinopteri; Cyprinodontiformes; Poeciliidae
Exons: 2
Source: RefSeq, a predicted model, not a curated record
AAGUAAAGGAAAACGAUGGCGAGAAGAGAAGAGGAGUAAGAGGUUGGCCUGAGGAAAGGAGUGAGCUGCCGAUGUGUAAAGUGAAACUCAUAUUGACUCGCAUGAACUUCGUUUGUGUUCGUGAGGUGAAAAUGUGCGGACAGGAUUCUUCUGUGAACCUGACGGAAUUGUGGAAAGGUGUGAGUGACGAACUCGACUGAGAGGGAGCUAGUUUAGCUAUCAGCUAGCUCAGCGGCUAACGCGGGACUUGGCUGGAGCAUUGGCGGCUUGCCAAUGCAAAGAGUGGAGACCUCGGUGCGGAUUAUCGGAACUCGAAGGAAGAAGUUCUGAUGGAACCGUACUGGUUGCGGUGAGAACGUUUUUUCCCGGAUGCUGUCAGGAGUUUGGGGUCAUUUCUUUCAAGGGACGUUCAUCGGACCUCUUCACUCGGGCUUCUGACGGGACAGAUGCAGCAAUUAAUCACGACAGCGAAACGGGCGUCAUUUCCAUCCCGAGCUGGAGAGCCCGUCGCUGCGGUGGUGGCGGCGACGGCGGCGGCGACGACGGGCCUCGGUUCCAGGUCCCAAACACUUCCCUGAAAGCUGACUAAUUGAAAACAACGGAAAAAUUUUAUGUUCACCAAAGCUGCUAUCAGGAAAGCUCGGGAGUAAAUUCUUGAUCUAAUUUGAACUACCAUUAACCCAUGUUUAAAAUCUCUCCACUGCUGUGAAGGAGGAGAAAAGAAGGGUCUUCUCUUGGCCAAUGGAUUCACAGCCUAUUGUGCAGAUAUGAUAAUUAUUGUUUGCCUGCCUUCCCUCCCCCGCACACCAUUUUAUUCAAGGGAGCUCAGCAAACCCCUGGGGAUGUCUUGGAAAUGGAGCGAUUUUGAAGGGACUAAGAAAGGCAGAAUCCAAUGCACUGGUGUGUGAGAAGGGGGACUGUUAUUGAGACAAGUGCCUGUUUACAUGCUGACCUCGUCCAGCGCCAGCUCUGUUCCUACACACGGCUACAACACACGUCCAGUUUAAAACACCGAGAAACGCAGAGCAGCACAGUGAAGACGGCAUGAAUGCUUAUGCGUCAUUUUCAACGAUUCCGUUUUAAAUGAAGCCCUAAUACAAAAACAUACAGAUAUUUUUCUCACAUGCCUCUUGAUCAACUGAGAAUGUGUAUGAUGGCUCACAGACAUACUGCUUCCCAUUUAACGAUUUUUCACAUUUUGAGGUUUCAACCACAGACUUUUUUUUUUUUUACACAAAUUAGGUAAUGAUUAUGAAGUGUAGUUUUUAGUCCUCAACAUCUGAAACAAUUGUGUUGCAUAUGCAUUCAGCUCCUCUGUAGAACCACCUUUAAAUGCUAUUAGAUGCACACUAUAGUCUCUAACAGCUUUGCACAUAUAGAGACUGAAAUUCUUGCCUGUUCUUGUCAAAACAGACCAAGCUUAAUUUUGCCAUAUGUUCUUGAUGAGAUUUAGAUCUGGACUUUGACUGGACCAUUCUAACACAUGAGGGAUCUUCAAUCUAAACCAUUCCACUCUGUCUGGCUCAGUCUGAAGUCUUUAGCAGUUUAUCUUGUGGUAUUGAAACUUUGACCAAAUUCCCAAGCUGAAUAAAAAAGCAACCCCACAGCAUUAUGCUGCCACCAUGAUGUUUCAAAACAUUCAAGAUUCAGAGCUACUUUAUUGAUCCCAAAGGGAAAUUAAAUAAUCACUGCAGGGAUUGUGUUUUUAGGGUGAUGAGCAACGUUAGCUUUCCUCAACACGUUUUUUUACAUGUAGACCAAUGACUUGAGUUUAUCCAAUCAUCUACAGUCACAUGUUUGUUGCUUCCUGCAACAUAGCAUGCAGGUAACUACAAAUGAGAUUUCUAAUGACUUCCUUCUUUACACUGCGUCAUAAAGUUAUGAUUUGUUAAGUUGUACUACUAAUAGUUGUCAACAGAUUUUCGUGUGCAGCACUAGAAGAGUAAAUAAGGAAUUAUCCUGUAUUCUAUUCUAUAUGGCCAUAGGUUUGUAGUGGUGUGAUACUUUCUCUGUUGCUGAAAGAUGUAUAUAACUCUUUUAAAUUUUAUAAAACUUGAUAUUGUUUUAUAACCUAACCUGUCUUCUUGGAUUACAAUAUAACAAAACAUGAAAAAA